This 500-nucleotide ribosomal RNA is filed under the name uncultured bacterium. Its description in RNAcentral is "partial 16S ribosomal RNA". It matches the Rfam family "Bacterial small subunit ribosomal RNA", at positions 29 to 523 of the family's 1533-position model. The record is from RNAcentral.
AUUGAACGCUGGCGGAAUGCUUUACACAUGCAAGUCGAACGGCAGCACGGGGGCAACCCUGGUGGCGAGUGGCGAACGGGUGAGUAAUACAUCGGAACGUGCCCAGUCGUGGGGGAUAACGUAGCGAAAGUUACGCUAAUACCGCAUACGAUCUACGGGUGAAAGCGGGGGACCGUAAGGCCUCGCGCGAUUGGAGCGGCCGAUGUCAGAUUGGGUAGUUGGUGAGGUAAAGGCUCCCCAAGCCGACGAUCUGUAGCUGGGCUGAGAGGACGACCAGCCACACGGGGACUGAGACACGGCCCAGACUCCUACGGGAGGCAGCAGUGGGGAAUUUUGGGCAAUGGGCGCAAGCCUGAUCCAGCCAUUCCGCGUGCAGGACGAAGGCCUUCGGGUUGUGAACUGCUUUUGUACGGAACGAAAAGGCUCUGGUUAAUACCUGGGGCUCAUGACGGUACCGUAAGAAUAAGCACCGGCUAACUACGUGCCAGCCGCCGCCGUAA